UACGGAGGAUCCAAGCGUUUAUCCGGAAUCAUCGGGUUUAAAGGGUCCGUAGGCGGUUUAAUAAGUCAGUGGUGAAAGCCCAUCGCUCAACGGUGGAACGGCCAUUGAUACUGUUAAACUUGAAUUAUUAGGAAGUAACUAGAAUAUGUAGUGUAGCGGUGAAAUGCUUAGAGAUUACAUGGAAUACCAAUUGCGAAGGCAGGUUA
RNAcentral lists this ribosomal RNA (206 nucleotides) under uncultured bacterium. RNAcentral's name for it is "partial 16S ribosomal RNA". It matches the Rfam family "Bacterial small subunit ribosomal RNA", at positions 524 to 728 of the family's 1533-position model. The record is from RNAcentral.